CCCUUAGAUGUUCUGGGCCGCACGCGCGCUACACUGAUGCAUUCAACGAGCCUAUCCUUGACCGACAGGUCCGGGUAAUCUUUGAAUCUGCAUCGUGACGGGGAUAGAUUAUUGCAAUUAUUAAUCUUCAACGAGGAAUGCCUAGUAGGCGCAAGUCAUCAGCUUGCGUCGAUUACGUCCCUGCCCUUUGUACACACCGCCCGUCGCACCUACCGAUUGAAUGGUCCGGUGAAGCCUCCGGAUUGCGCGGCUUCGGCUGUCGCGAGAAGUUGGCUAAACCUUACCAUUUAGAGGAAGGUGAAGUCGUAACA
Molecule: ribosomal RNA, 311 nt
Filed under: uncultured eukaryote
Lineage: Eukaryota
Description: partial 18S ribosomal RNA
Rfam family: Eukaryotic small subunit ribosomal RNA
Source: RNAcentral